This 256-nucleotide ribosomal RNA is filed under the name uncultured prokaryote. RNAcentral describes it as "partial 16S ribosomal RNA". It matches the Rfam family "Bacterial small subunit ribosomal RNA", at positions 524 to 778 of the family's 1533-position model. The record is from RNAcentral.
UACGGAGGAUGCGAGCGUUAUCCGGGAUUUAUUGGGUUUAAAGGGUGCGUAGGCGGAUUAUUAAGUCAGUGGUGAAACCCUGCAGCUUAACUGUAGACUUGCCAAUGAUACUGAUAGUCUUGAGUAUGGUCGAGGUGGGCGGAAUGUGUAAUGUAGCGGUGAAAUGCUUAGAUAUUACACAGAACACCGAUAGCGUAGGCAGCUUGCUGGGCCGUUACUGACGCUGAUGCACGAAAGCGUGGGGAUCGAACCAGGA